This 313-nucleotide unclassified non-coding RNA is filed under the name plant metagenome. RNAcentral describes it as "partial contains 5.8S ribosomal RNA, internal transcribed spacer 2, and large subunit ribosomal RNA". The stretch from base 1 to 104 matches the Rfam family "5.8S ribosomal RNA", at positions 51 to 154 of the family's 154-position model. The record is from RNAcentral.
AAAUGCGAUAAUUAAUGUGAAUUGCAGAAUUCAGUGAAUCAUCGAGUCUUUGAACGCACAUUGCGCCCCCUGGUAUUCCGGGGGGCAUGCCUGUCCGAGCGUCAUUGCUGCCCUCAAGCACGGCUUGUGUGUUGGGCUUCCGUCCCUGGCAACGGGGACGGGCCCAAAAGGCAGUGGCGGCACCAUGUCUGGUCCUCGAGCGUAUGGGGCUUUGUCACCCGCUCCCGUAGGUCCAGCUGGCAGCUAGCCCCGCAACCAAUCUUUUUAACCAGGUUGACCUCGGAUCAGGUAGGGAUACCCGCUGAACUUAAGC